Molecule: transfer RNA, 72 nt
Filed under: Bos taurus (domestic cattle)
Lineage: Eukaryota; Metazoa; Chordata; Mammalia; Artiodactyla; Bovidae
Also listed under: 1 other name
Rfam family: tRNA
About the family: Transfer RNA (tRNA) molecules are approximately 80 nucleotides in length. Their secondary structure includes four short double-helical elements and three loops (D, anti-codon, and T loops).
Source: Rfam by way of RNAcentral
UCCCUGGUAGUCCAGUGGUUAGGACUCUGUGUUUCAGCGCUGACGGUCCAGGUUCAGUCCCUGGUCAGGGAA